This 737-nucleotide ribosomal RNA is filed under the name Microbacterium paraoxydans. RNAcentral's name for it is "bacterial SSU rRNA". It matches the Rfam family "Bacterial small subunit ribosomal RNA", at positions 801 to 1533 of the family's 1533-position model. Lineage: Bacteria; Bacillati; Actinomycetota; Actinomycetes; Micrococcales; Microbacteriaceae. The record is from RNAcentral.
GGAAGCUCGCGGGACUAGUUGUGGGGACCAUUCCACGGUUUCCGUGACGCAGCUAACGCAUUAAGUUCCCCGCCUGGGGAGUACGGCCGCAAGGCUAAAACUCAAAGGAAUUGACGGGGACCCGCACAAGCGGCGGAGCAUGCGGAUUAAUUCGAUGCAACGCGAAGAACCUUACCAAGGCUUGACAUAUACGAGAACGGGCCAGAAAUGGUCAACUCUUUGGACACUCGUAAACAGGUGGUGCAUGGUUGUCGUCAGCUCGUGUCGUGAGAUGUUGGGUUAAGUCCCGCAACGAGCGCAACCCUCGUUCUAUGUUGCCAGCACGUAAUGGUGGGAACUCAUGGGAUACUGCCGGGGUCAACUCGGAGGAAGGUGGGGAUGACGUCAAAUCAUCAUGCCCCUUAUGUCUUGGGCUUCACGCAUGCUACAAUGGCCGGUACAAAGGGCUGCAAUACCGUGAGGUGGAGCGAAUCCCAAAAAGCCGGUCCCAGUUCGGAUUGAGGUCUGCAACUCGACCUCAUGAAGUCGGAGUCGCUAGUAAUCGCAGAUCAGCAACGCUGCGGUGAAUACGUUCCCGGGUCUUGUACACACCGCCCGUCAAGUCAUGAAAGUCGGUAACACCUGAAGCCGGUGGCCCAACCCUUGUGGAGGGAGCCGUCGAAGGUGGGAUCGGUAAUUAGGACUAAGUCGUAACAAGGUAGCCGUACCGGAAGGUGCGGCUGGUCCACCCUCCUUAA